This 429-nucleotide ribosomal RNA is filed under the name uncultured bacterium. RNAcentral describes it as "bacterial SSU rRNA". It matches the Rfam family "Bacterial small subunit ribosomal RNA", at positions 355 to 776 of the family's 1533-position model. The record is from RNAcentral.
UGGGGAAUAUUGGGCAAUGGGCGAAAGCCUGACCCAGCGACGCCGCGUGGGGGAUGAAGGUCUUCGGAUUGUAAACCCCUGUCGGGAGGGACGAACGUUUCGCGCCUAAUAGGUGUGAAACUUGACGGUACCUCCAAAGGAAGCCCCGGCUAACUCCGUGCCAGCAGCCGCGGUAAUACGGAGGGGGCAAGCGUUAUUCGGAAUUACUGGGCGUAAAGCGCGCGCAGGUGGCUUGGUAAGUGGCAGGUGAAAUCCCUCGGCUCAACCGAGGAACUGCCUGCCAAACUGCUGAGCUUGAGGCUGGGAGGGGAGAGCGGAAUUCCUGGUGUAGCGGUGAAAUGCGUAGAUACCAGGAGGAACACCGGUGGCGAAGGCGGCUCUCUGGACCAGUUCUGACACUCAUGCGCGAAAGCGUGGGGAGCAAACAGG